CAAAGUCGGCUCUGCCAGACCAAGGAAGGAGCUGGAAAUCGUUUCUUAGCAAGAACAAUGAAAGAAACCAGAAAUAUUUAAUCUGGAAAAGAGAAUACGUGAUAGCUGUCUUCCUUUAUUUUUUUUCACAUGGGAGAUUUUACUACUUCAGAGGACACGUUUAUUCAGAGGACACAUUUAAGGACAACGGAUGAAAGUCUAAGAGAUGCAGAACUUAGUUCAAUAAAGCAUUCUAUCAAUUAGAACUCUGAAGAACAAAGUAGGUAGGGUAGUGAAUUCCUUCAUCACUGGAAAUGUUCAAGUGGAAGUUAGGUCAUCACUUGUUAGGGAUAGUGCAGAAAGGAUCCUUGCACUGGGUGGCAGUUUGGAAUAGAUGACUUUUUUUUUUUUUUUUUUUUUUUGAGACGGAGUCUCGCUCUGUCACCCAGGCUGGAGUGCAAUGGUGCAAUCUCGGCUCACUGCAACCUCUGCCUCCCGGGUUCAAGCAGUUCUCCUGCCUCAGCCUCCCGAAUAGCUGGGAUUACAGGCAAGCGCCACCACGCCCAGCUAAUUUUUGUAUUUUUAGUAGAGACGGGGUUUCACCGUGUUGGCCAGGCUGGUCUUGAACUCCUGACCUCAGGUGAUCCAUCCUUCUCAGCCUCCCAAAGUGCUGGGAUUACAGGCGUGAGCCACUGUGCCCAGCUGGAAUAGAUGACUUUUAAACCAUCUUCCAACGCUAGAUGCAUGGUACUUUCUGAACAAGGAAGAACCUGUUUAUAGUUAAGCCAACCUUAACUUCUCAGAGCUGCCUCUGCCAGAGGCCAAUGCUUCAUGAGCGCUGAAAGAUGGCACAGACCUGACUUAAUCUAAAGCACAUGGCUGGAACUUGACUAGCCUUUGGAAAUGCUGUGGGUGGAAAAACAAAACAAGCAAAAAGCCAACCCUCAUCUGACUGCUCUCAGCUCACUGUGUAGCUUUGGAACAACGAUGGUAAUACUAAUAGUAAUUUAUUAUUAUUACUAUUAUUUAUUACUAUUAUACUAUUUAUUACUAUUAUUGGUAACAGAGUAAUAAUCAGUCUCUUUCUAAACUUGUAAAUCAGUAUAAUUUUGGCCACUGCAGUGAUGUCUACAUCUAGUCAAAACUGGUGUUAAGUGGCAAAUGGUUCCCCAUAGCCAUUGUGUGGGGUGUUUUCUCUCAAGGGCACCACAUGUUCACUAGGACUCUGUGAUGCUCCCCUGGGGUUCCUCACCUUAGUUGUAGGAAUAAACCAACUACAGUAGUUUAUUAAUUAUUAUAAAGUUGUGAAACAAACAUAAGGAAUCCCAUUCUUGUCCAGUCUAAUUCCAGUUUGCUGUUGGGGGUUUGCAUUUAUUGUUAGCAUUUACUCAGCAUUUAGUGAAGUGUUUUCUGUCAUAAUUGAGUUCCUGCUUAUUUUACUACUGAUGUUUUGUUUUAGUCCUUUCAAUACCUGUCUUUAUUUUCUUCCUGCCCCAAUUGUAAUUGUAUCUCAAUUACAGUUCUGUCUUCAGAACUGAAAUUGAUUACUUCCUUGGGUGGUUCUCUGAGAAAUAGGU
This 1556-nucleotide long non-coding RNA is filed under the name Homo sapiens (human). RNAcentral describes it as "non-protein coding lnc-PPP1R12B-7:1". The record is from RNAcentral. Lineage: Eukaryota; Metazoa; Chordata; Mammalia; Primates; Hominidae.